UACGCACUCCUACGGGAGGCAGCAUGGGGAAUAUUGCACAAUGGGCGCAAGCCUGAUGCAGCCAUGCCGCGUGUAUGAAGAAGGCCUUCGGGUUGUAAAGUACUUUCAGCAGUGAGGAAGGUGGGUAUGUUAAUAGCAUAUUCAUUUGACGUUAGCUGCAGAAGAAGCACCGGCUAACUCCGUGCCAGCAGCCGCGGUAAUACGGAGGGUGCGAGCGUUAAUCGGAAUUACUGGGCGUAAAGCGCAUGCAGGUGGUUUGUUAAGUCAGAUGUGAAAGCCCGGGGCUCAACCUCGGAAUUGCAUUUGAAACUGGCAAACUAGAGUACUGUAGAGGGGGGUAGAAUUUCAGGUGUAGCGGUGAAAUGCGUAGAGAUCUGAAGGAAUACCGGUGGCGAAGGCGGCCCCCUGGACAGAUACUGACACUCAGAUGCGAAAGCGUGGGGAGCAAACAGGAUUAGUACCCUGGUAG
Molecule: ribosomal RNA, 469 nt
Filed under: uncultured bacterium
Lineage: Bacteria
Description: bacterial SSU rRNA
Rfam family: Bacterial small subunit ribosomal RNA
Source: RNAcentral